AGUGAACGCUGGCGGUAGGCCUAACACAUGCAAGUCGAACGGCAGCACAGUAAGAUCUUGCUCUUACGGGUGGCGAGUGGCGGACGGGUGAGGAAUACAUCGUAAUCUACUUUUUCGUGGGGGAUAACGUAGGUAAACUUACUCUAAUACCGCAUACGACCUACGGGUGAAAGCAGGGGAUCUUCGGACCUUGCGCGAUUGAAUGAGCCGAUGUCGGAUUAGCUAGUUGGCGGGGUAAAGGCCCACCAAGGCGACGAUCCGUAGCUGGUCUGAGAGGAUGAACAGCCACACUGGAACUGAGACACGGUCCAGACUCCUACGGGAGGCAGCAGUGGGGAAUAUUGGACAAUGGGCGGAAGCCUGAUCCAGCUAUACCGCGUGGGUGAAGAAGGCCUUCGGGUUGUAAAGCCCUUUUGUUGGGAAAGAAAAGCAGCAGGUUAAUACCCCGCUGUUCUGACGGUACCCAAAGAAUAAGCACCGGCUAACUUCGUG
RNAcentral lists this ribosomal RNA (492 nucleotides) under uncultured bacterium. RNAcentral's name for it is "partial 16S ribosomal RNA". It matches the Rfam family "Bacterial small subunit ribosomal RNA", at positions 29 to 507 of the family's 1533-position model. The record is from RNAcentral.